CUACGGGGGGCUGCAGUGGGGAAUCUUAGACAAUGGGCGCAAGCCUGAUCUAGCCAUGCCGCGUGAGCGAUGAAGGCCUUAGGGUUGUAAAGCUCUUUCAGCGAGGAAGAUAAUGACUGUACUCGCAGAAGAAGCCCCGGCUAACUCCGUGCCAGCAGCCGCGGUAAUACGGAGGGGGCUAGCGUUGUUCGGAAUUACUGGGCGUAAAGCGCACGUAGGCGGAUCAGAAAGUCAGAGGUGAAAUCCCAGGGCUCAACCUUGGAACUGCCUUUGAAACUCCUGAUCUUGAGUUCGAGAGAGGUGAGCGGAAUUCCGAGUGUAGAGGUGAAAUUCGUAGAUAUUCGGAGGAACACCAGUGGCGAAGGCGGCUCACUGGCUCGAUACUGACGCUGAGGUGCGAAAGCGUGGGGAGCAAACAGGAUUAGAUACCCGCGUAGUC
This 439-nucleotide ribosomal RNA is filed under the name uncultured bacterium. Its description in RNAcentral is "partial 16S ribosomal RNA". It matches the Rfam family "Bacterial small subunit ribosomal RNA", at positions 339 to 795 of the family's 1533-position model. The record is from RNAcentral.